RNAcentral lists this long non-coding RNA (13592 nucleotides) under Lynx pardinus (Iberian lynx). The record is from RNAcentral. Lineage: Eukaryota; Metazoa; Chordata; Mammalia; Carnivora; Felidae.
UACAGACAAAAAUGCCUCCAAAGACAUUUAGUUUUAUGACAUGGACCUUCUAGGGUAUGGACACUGAAACUAAAGCAAAUGGUUGAAGAACAAUUGGUAUUGUCUAAAAUAUUUUGAAAGAAAUGCAAAAGCAAAAAAAAUAAAAUAAAAAAAAAUCACCCAGAAAUGCUGAUGUAUUUUCAUGAAGUUACACAAAAUGUGGCUGCCUCUCCUGCCUCCCCUUCCACCUCCUCCACCCCUCUGCCUCUGCCAUCCUUCAGACAGCAAUAAUAAUAAUGGCUGUAUAAUUAAUAAAUCGAACUGUUGUGUAUGUGUAUUUUCAUGUUAAAUAAUAAUGUAUGACAAGAACUGUAAGAGAUGUUUCUAUGUCAUCAUCAGCAUCAUCUAAGUACUGAGCAUGUAGAACAUCAUGUGCAAGAUGUAUAUGGAAGUAGGCAGACUAUCCUUACAUAGGUAUAAGGUAAGUAGUAUUUAAUAUAAACUUAAUAAUGUGUUAGUUUUCUGUUUUAUAACUUUGCUUUCAAAUAACAUUACCAUAGGGUGUGUCCCUCUCUCUAGUAAAUGAAGAAGGUUGCAGAGCAGCCCAUCAUCACAGGUAAGUAGUUUUUUAAAAAAAUAGAACACUGUUUCCAACAGUAUAUAAUGAAUAUGGCUAGAAUGAAAUUUUAUAAUGAUUCAUUAGUGUAGAGGCUAGGCUACCAUAAAGCAUUCAUAUUGCUGCUGCUUCCUUAUCAAUGUAUGAAUUAUUAACCUAUAAAUAAAUAUGAAUUUUUUCAUAUUAUCUUUUCAUUUUUUAUAUUUAGUGUUAGUUAUACAUAUAUAACACCAACAGUGUUUUGUAUAAGACAAUAUUGAUGUAGGUACUGACAGAUAAUUCAUCUUGUAAAACAUGAUAUAACUUACAUUAUCAGUAAAUACAAUACAGUACUAUAAAUGUAUUUUCCCUUAUGAUUUUCUUAACAUUUUCUCUAGCUUACUUUAUUGUAUACAUAUAACAUACAAAAUGUGUGUUAAACUGUUUAGGUUAUGAGUAAGGCUUCCAGUAAACCAGCUAUUACCAGUUAAGUUUGGGGGGAGUCAAAAGUUAUAUAUGAAUUUUUAGCUGCACUGGGGUGUCAGUGCCCCUAACCCCUGCACUGUUCAAGGGUCAAGUUUAUUCUAGAGUUCAAAAUACUUUCCUAAUAUGAAAUAGACUUAGUACUUUAAUGAAAUAUAAAGAUUAUAUUUAAUCAUAUGUAUAGGCUAUUUUAAUCAAAAUUAAUUUUCAAUGCUAAAUUUUCAACCCUACUUAUAAUGGAAUUUUUUGAACUUUCAGUAUUUAUGUAUCACUUAAUGGCAUGCUUCAUUUAAAUACAUGGAUUUUUUUUUUACAAACAAUAAAAUGAUAUUCAUUGGAGACAAAUUAUUAUAACUUCUAAUGAAAGACAUACAUACCUGAGGUAUACCAGCGCCUGUUUGCAUAGAAGACUUUUUUAAUAGUCUCACUUCUUUGUUUAUAUAUCUUAGCAUUCCACUAAGAGUACUGAAGUCAUUACUUUCAGAACUAUCAUCUUCCAUGUCAUAUGUGAGAGGUUUAAAUGAGACUGGCUGGGUAUAAGUCAGAUCCUUCUGGCUUUCUUCUAAUGUUGACGACUGUUCUAAUUGCAUUUUUUUUAAGUCUUGUAGUAAUUCUUCAGAAAGAUCUUCAUUACUACCAGUUUUGACACUAAGGUCACUGGCACUAAUUGAGCGACGUAGUUUUCUACACUUGAAAAAAGCUGCAUGAGAAUGUUUAGCAAAUUUUGGAUCUUGAAUGGCAGGCAUAAUUUCUGUUGCAGAUGUAAGCAGGGCUGGUAGAAACUUGAUGUCUUCUGCCCUUUCACGUCCAGAAAUUUUGGCUUGUAAUCUGGUUAAUUCUGAUUCCUGUAGAAACAUAUGUACACAGUAGGUGUUCAAUAUAUUUUCGUUAAAUGAAUAAAUUACUUAAAUGAUCUCUAAGAAUCUAUGAUUUUUUUAAGUCAAGCUUCUGCCCAGAACACAAAUUCCUUUCAUAACAAACCAUGAGAGUUUUCCAAACUCUGUUUAAACCCUUCAUUUUGGGAAAAUUACCUAUGUUCACUUGAAAUAUGUUAAAACUACACUAAGAAACUCCAUGAAAACUAGAUUUUCCUUAUACAAAUGUUACAGUAACAGUAUAGGGAACACACAGUAACAGAUAGGGAAAACAUAAUGAAAAAGGAAUCCAAUUGUAUCACUAAAGAAAGCAGCAAACUGUGAGAAGAGAGGGACAGAAAAGAACUACAAUAACAAAAUGGUGCUAAGUACAUACUUAUCAAUAAUUACUUUGAAUGUAAAUGGAAUAAAUGCUCCAAUCAAAAGCCAGAGUGAAGACUGACACAGAAUGGAUAAAAAAGCAAGACCUAUCUGUAUAAGCUGCCUAAAAGAUACUCAUUUCAGACCAAACAACACAUAAAGGUUGAAAGUGAAGGGAGGGAAAAGCAUUUAUAAUGCAAAUAUAAAAGAAAAGAAAGCCAGGGGAGCAAUACUUCUAUGGGAUAAAACAGACUGUAAAACAAUGACUAUAACAAGAGACAAAAAAAGGACACUACAUAAUCAUAAAGGGAACAAUCCAACAAGAAAAUAUUAACAAUUGUAAGUAUUUAUGUACCCAAUGUGAUAGCACCCAAAUCCAUAAAGUAGUUACUAACAAGCAUAAAGGUAGUAACUGAUAGUAAUGUAGUAAUAGAAAACUUAAAUUUUUUUUUUAAUGUUUUAUUUAUUUUUGAGAGAGAGAAACAGUGCGAGUGGGGGAGGGGGCAGGGAGAGAGGGAGACAGAAUCGGAGGCAGGCUUCAGGCUCUGAGCUGGCAGCACAGAGCCCAAAAUGGGGCUCGAACCCAAAAAUGGUGAGAUCAUGACCUGAGCCGAAGUCAGACACUCAACCAACUGAGCCACCCAGGCACCCCAGUAGAGGACUUUAAUACCCACUUACAUCAAUGGAUAGAUCAUUCAAACAGAAAAUCAACAAGGAUGCUAGUUUUGAAUGAUACACUGGACCAGGUGGAUCUAAGAUAUAUUCAGAACACCCCAUUCUAAAAUAGGAUACACAUUUUUUUUAAAUUUUUUAAUGUUUAUUUUUGAGAGAGAGAGAGACAGAGCAUGAGUGGGGAGGGGCAGAGAGAGAGGAGACACAGAAUCUAAAGCAGGCUCCAGGCUCUGAGCUGUCAUUACAGAGCUUGAUGUGGGGCUCGAACCCAUGAACCAUGAGAUUAUGACCUGAGCCGACAUAGACACUUAACUGACUGAGCCACCCAGGUGCUCCAGGAUGCAUUCUUUUAGGUGCACAGGGAGCAUUCUCCAGAAUAGAUCACAUAAGGCCACAAAACAAGUCUCAAAAGAUUGAAAAUGAUUGAAGUCAUACCAUGCAUCUUUUCUGAACACAAUGCUAUGAAACUAGAAAUCAAACCAUAAGAAAAUCUGGAAAGAACACAAAUACAUGGAGGUUAAAUAACAUGCUAUUAAACAAUGAAUGGGGGAACCAAGAAAUCCAGAAGAAAUUCUAAAAAAAUGGGGAAAAAUGAAAACGAAAACACAGUGGUCCAAAAUCUUUGGGAUACAGCAAAAGCAGUUCUCAAAAUGAAGUUAUAGCAAUAAGCGCCUACCUCAAGAAGCAAGAAAAAUCUCAAAUAAACAAUCUGCUUACAUCUAAAGGAGCUAGAAAAAAAAAGAACAAAACCCAAAGCCAACAGAAGGAAGAAAAUAAUAAAGAUUAAAGCAGAAAUAAAUAGAAACAAAAAAAAAUUGGAAGUGAUCAAUGAAACAGGAGCUGGUUCUUUGAAAAGAUCAACAAAAUUGAUAAACCUUUCAACAGACCAAUAAAAAAAAAAUUGAGAGGGAGAGAGAGGAUUCAAAUAAACAUCAGAAAUGAAAGAGAAGAAAGAACAGCUGACACCAAAGAAAUACAAAGGAUUAUAAGAGAAUAUUAUGAAAAAUCAUAUGCCAACAAACUGGGCAACCUAGAAGAAAUGGAGAACUUCCUAGAAACACAUAAUCUCCAAAAACUCAAUCUAUAAGAAAUAGAAAAUUUGAGCAGACUGAUUACCAGUAAUCCAAUAACUCCAAAAGUCCAGGACAAGAUGGCUUCACAGGUGAAUUCCACCAAACAUUUAAAGAAGAGUUAACACCUCUUCUUUUCAAACUAUUCCGAAAAAUACAAAAGGAAGGAAAACUUCCAAAUUCAUUCUAUGAAGCCAGCACUACCCUGAUACCAAAACCAGACAAAGACACUACAACAAAAGAGAAAUACAGGUCCAUAUCACUGAUGAACUUAAGAUGCAAAAAUCCUCAACAAAAUAUUAAAUACAAACUGAAUCUAACAAUACAUUAAAAAAAAAGCAUUCACCACGAUAAAGUUGGAUUUAUUCCAGGGAUGCAAGGGUGGUUUGUUAUUCACAAAUAAAUGUGAUACAUAUCAACUCUAGAAAGGAUAAGAACCAUAUGAUCAUUUCAAGAGACAAGGAAAAAGCAUUUGACAAAGUACAACAUCCAUUCAUGAUAGAAACUCUUAACAAAGUAGGUUUAGAGGGAACAUAGCUCAACAUAAUAAGGGCGAUACACCAAAAACUCAAAGCUAACAUCAUACUCCAUGGUGAAAAACUGACAGUAUGUCCCCUAAGACCAGGAACAAGACAAGAUGUCCACUCUCAACACCUUUAUUCAACACAGUAUUGGAAGUCAUAGUCAUAGUAAUGAGAUGAGGAAUAAAAGUCAUCCAAAUUAGUAAGAAAGAUGUAACUUUAACUAUUUGCACAUAACAAGAUACUAUAUAUAGAAAACGUUAAAGACCAUGAAAAACCUACUAAAAUUGCUAAAUGAAUUCAGUAAGGUCAUAGAAUACAAAAGUCAAUAUUCAGGAAUCCACUGCAUUGCUAUACACUACUAAUAAAGUAGCAGAAAGAGAAAUUAAGAGAACAGUUCCACUUAGAAUUGUAUGAAAAAUAAUAAAAUGCCUAGGAAUAAACUUAUCCAAGGAGGUAAAAGACCUGGACUCUGAAAACUAUAAAUACUGAUGAAAGAAAAUGAAAAUGACGCAAAGAAAUGGAAAUAUAUUCCAUACUCAUGGAUUAAAAGAAUAACUAUUGCUAAAAUGUCCACACAAUCCAAAGAUAUCUACAGAUUUUAUGCAAUACUAUGAAAAUAUCAAUAGCAUUUUUCACUGAACUACAACAAAUAAUCCUAAAAUUUGUAUGGAAUCAGUAAAGACCCUGAAGAGCCAAAGAAAUAUGGAAAAAGAACAAUAAAACUGGAGGUCUCAUAAUCUCAGAUUUCAAGACAUACUACAAAGCUGUAGUAUUCAAAACAAGUAUGGUACUGGCACACACACACACACACAAAAACCAAACCCAGGGGCGCCUGGGUGGCGCAGUCGGUUAAGCGUCCGACUUCAGCCAGGUCACGAUCUCGCGGUCCAUGAGUUCGAGCCCCGCGUCGGGCUCUGGGCUGAUGGCUCAGAGCCUGGAGCCUGUUUCCGAUUCUGUGUCUCCCUCUCUCUCUGCCCCUCCCCCGUUCAUGCUCUGUCUCUCUCUGUCCCAAAAAUAAAUAAAAACGUUGAAAAAAAGAAAAAAAAAAUUAAAAAAAAAAAAAACCAAACCCAUAGAUCAAGUGAACAGAACAGAGAGCCCAGAAAUAGAUCCAAGGUGCCUGGGUAGCUCAGUUGGUUAAGUAUCCGAUUCUUGGUUUCAGCUCAGGUCAUGAUCUCGUGGUUCGUGGGCUUGAGCCCAGCUUCGGGCUCCACGCUGGGCAUGGAGCCUGCUUUGGGGAUUCUCACUCUCCCAAUCUCUCUACUCCUCCCCUGCUCACACUGUCUCUGGAAGAAAGGAAAGCAGGAAGGCAGGCAGAAAUAUACCCACAAUUAUAUGGUCAAUUAAUCUUCAGAUGAAAGAGGCAAGAAUAUGCAAUGGGAAAAAGACAGUCUCUUCAACACACAGUGCUGGGAUAACUGGACAGCUACAUGCAGAAGAAUGAAAUUGGACUACUUUAUAAUACCAUACACAAAUAUAAACUCAAAAUGGAUUAAAGACCUAAAUGUGAAACCAUAAAAAUUCUAGAGGAGAGCACAGGCAGUAAUCUUAUGACAUCAGUUGUGGCACUAUUUUUCUAGAUAUGUCUCCUGAGGCAAGGGAAACAAAAGCAAAAAUAAACUAUUGGGACCUCAUCAAAAUAAAAAGCUUCUGCACAGUUAAGGAAACAAUCAACAAAACUAAAGGGCAACCUAUGAAAUGGGAGAAGAUACUUACAAAUGAUAUAUAUAUCUGACCAAGGGUUAGUAUCCAAAAUAUAUAAAGAACUUAUACAACACCAAAAAAACAAAUAAUCCAAUUUAAAAAUGGGUGGAAGACAUUAACAGACAUUUCUCCGAAGAGGACAUAGAGAUGGCUAACAGACACAUUGAAAGAUGCUCAACAUACAAAACACAUAUUUUUCAAGUGUCCAUGGAAUAUUCACCAAUGACAGACCAUAUUCUGGGCCAUACGACAAAACUUAAUAAAUUAAAAAAAACUGAAAACAUACAAAUUAUGUUCUCUAACCAUAAUGGAAUUAAACUAGAAAUCAGUAACAGAGAGACAUCUGAAAAAUCUCUGAAUAUUUCUUAAUUAAAUUUAUAUACUUUUAAAUAACCCACAGGUCAAAGGGACAACAUAAGGGAAAUCAGAAAUUUUUGAGCUGAGUGAAAAUAAAAAUACAGUAUUGUAUCAAAAUUUGUGGGGGAUAGCUAAAGCAGUGCUUGAAAAGAAAUUUUUUAUAUUAGAAAAGAAAGAUCUAGAUCAGUUGAUCUAACUUGUCACCUUAUACUAGAAAAAGAGCAAGUUAAACUCAAAGAAAGCACAAAGAAGGAAAUAAUAAAGAGGAGAAAUUAAUAAAAAUAAGAAGAGAAAGCUAAUUGAGAAAAAGCAAUAAAACCAAAGCUGGUUCUCUAAAAAGAUCAAUAAAAUCGAUAAACUUCUAGCCAGACUAGGAGAAAAAGGAGAAGACACAAUUACCAAUAUCAGGAAUGAAAGAGGGGAGGUCACUACAUAACCUACAGGCAUUAAAAAGAAAAUAAAGGAAUACUAUAAACAACUCUAUGCUCAUAAACUCAUAGAUGAAACGAACCAAUUCCUCAAACACAAAUACUACCAUGGGGUGCCUGGGUGGCUCAGUCAGUUAAGCAUGCCACUUCAGCUCAGGUCACAAUCCAUUUGAGAGUUUGAGCCCCCCACAUAAGGCUCUGCACUGCUCUCUGCCCCUCCCCCCCCAAAACACUUUCAAAGCUUACUCAAAGAAAUCAAAGAUCUAAAUAAAAGGAGAACUAUACCAAAUUCAUGCUCAAUGCUAAUCAAAAUCCCAGAAAGCGGAUUCUAAAAUUUGUACAGAAAGUCAAAGGAACUCUAGUUAUUUAUUUAUUUAAAAAAAAUUUUUUUUUUUUUUAAAUUUUUUUUCCUUCAACGUUUAUUUAUUUUUGGGACAGAGAGAGACAGAGCAUGAACGGGGGAGGGGCAGAGAGAGAGGGAGACACAGAAUCGGAAACAGGCUCCAGGCUCUGAGCCAUCAGCCCAGAGCCCGACGCGGGGCUCGAACUCAUGGACCGCGAGAUCGUGACCUGGCUGAAGUCGGACGCUUAACCGNAAAAAAAAAAAAAAAAAAAAAAAACCAAACCCAUAGAUCAAGUGAACAGAACAGAGAGCCCAGAAAUAGAUCCAAGGUGCCUGGGUAGCUCAGUUGGUUAAGUAUCCGAUUCUUGGUUUCAGCUCAGGUCAUGAUCUCGUGGUUCGUGGGCUUGAGCCCAGCUUCGGGCUCCACGCUGGGCAUGGAGCCUGCUUUGGGGAUUCUCACUCUCCCAAUCUCUCUACUCCUCCCCUGCUCACACUGUCUCUGGAAGAAAGGAAAGCAGGAAGGCAGGCAGAAAUAUACCCACAAUUAUAUGGUCAAUUAAUCUUCAGAUGAAAGAGGCAAGAAUAUGCAAUGGGAAAAAGACAGUCUCUUCAACACACAGUGCUGGGAUAACUGGACAGCUACAUGCAGAAGAAUGAAAUUGGACUACUUUAUAAUACCAUACACAAAUAUAAACUCAAAAUGGAUUAAAGACCUAAAUGUGAAACCAUAAAAAUUCUAGAGGAGAGCACAGGCAGUAAUCUUAUGACAUCAGUUGUGGCACUAUUUUUCUAGAUAUGUCUCCUGAGGCAAGGGAAACAAAAGCAAAAAUAAACUAUUGGGACCUCAUCAAAAUAAAAAGCUUCUGCACAGUUAAGGAAACAAUCAACAAAACUAAAGGGCAACCUAUGAAAUGGGAGAAGAUACUUACAAAUGAUAUAUAUAUCUGACCAAGGGUUAGUAUCCAAAAUAUAUAAAGAACUUAUACAACACCAAAAAAACAAAUAAUCCAAUUUAAAAAUGGGUGGAAGACAUUAACAGACAUUUCUCCGAAGAGGACAUAGAGAUGGCUAACAGACACAUUGAAAGAUGCUCAACAUAAAUAACCAUCAGGGAAAUGCAAAUCAAAACCACAAUGCAGUAUCACCUCACAAUUAUGAGAGUGGCUAAAAUCAACAGCACAGUAAACAAGUGUUGGCAAGGAUGUGGAGAAAAAGGAACCCUCUUGCAUUGUUUUUAGGAAUGCAAACCAGUGCAGCCACUGUGGAAACAAUAUGGAGGUUCCUCAAAAAGCCAAAAAUAGAACUACACUAUGAUCCAGCAAUUGCACUACUGGGUAUUUAUCCAAAAAUACAAAAACAUUAAUUCAAAGGGAUAUAUGAACCCCUCUGUUUAUUGGAGCAUUAUUUAAAAUAGCCAAAAUAAGGAAGCAGCCCAAAUGUCCAUUGACAGAUUAAUGGAUAAAGAAGAUGUGGUAUAUAUUUACAAUGGAAUACUAUUCAGCCAUAAAUAAGAAUGAGAUCUUGCCAUUUGCAGUGACAUAAAUGGAGCUAAAGAGUAUAAUGCUAAGUGAAAUAAGUCAGUUAGACAAAGAUAAAUACCAUAUGAUUACACUCAUGUGGAAUUUAAGAAACAAAUAAACAAGGGGUGCCUGGGUGGCUCAGUUAGUUAAGUGUCCGACUCUUGAUUUUGACUCCGGUCAUGAUCUCGUGCUUUGUAAGAUCGAGUCCCCAUCUGCUGACAGUGCAGAGCCUGCUUGGGAUUCUCUCUCUCCCUCUCUCUUUGCACCCGCCCCCCACUCAUGCAUGUGCAAGCUCUUUCUCUCUCAAAAUAAGUAAACAUUUUUUAAAAAAAGAAACUAACAAACAAAUAAAAUGAGCAAAGGAAAAAAAACAGAAGAGAGAGAGAUAAACCCAGAAAGACUCUUAACUACACAGAACAAACUGAUGGUUAUCAGAGGGGAGGUGGGUGGGUAGAUAGGUAAAAUAGGUGAUGGUGAUUAAACAUGCUCAUCACUUGUAAUGAGCACAGGGUAAUGAAUGGAAGUGUUGAAUCACUAUAUUGUAUACCUGAAACUAAUAUGACACUGUAUGUUAACUAUACUGGAAUUUAAAAUAAAAUUAAAAAAAACAUUAAAAAUAAAUAAUAUAAAAAUAUAUAUAUUCCAUGUAAAUGGAUAUCAAAAUCGUGGAGUAGCUCUACUCACAUCAGAAAAAAACAAUAUUUAAGCCAAAACUGUAACAAGAGACAAAGAAUGUCAUUAUGUAAUGAUAAAAGGGUCAAUCUGAAAGAAUAUAUUACAUAAAUAUUUAUGGUCCUAAAAAACAUAGAAGCACCUAAAUAUAUAAAGCUAAUAUUGACAGACCUGAAGGGAGAAAAAGACAGAAAUAUAAUAAUAGUAGAAGACUUAAAUACCCCAUUGUCAUCAAUGGAUAGAUAGAUCAAGGCAGAAAAAUCAAUAAGGAAAAACGACUUGAACUACACAUAACACCAAAUGGACUUAACAGACAUUUGUAGAACAUUCCAUACAAGGCCUAUACACAUUCUUCUCAGACAAGGAACAUUCUCCAAGGGAGACCAUGUGGUAGGCCACAAUACAAGUCUUACAAGAAAAUUGACAAUUUACAAUUAUGUCAGGAUUAAAAAAAUAUGCUACUGAAUAGCCAAGAGGCCAGAAAAAUUAGAAAAAAUUAUGUUGAGACAAAUGAAAAUGGAAAUACAACAUACCAAAAAUUAUGGGAUACAAAAUAUGGUAUCCCAUAUGGGAUACAGAAAAAAUAUUUUUAAGAGGUAAGUUAAUAGUAAUAAACAUCUACAUUAGGAAACAAGAAAGAUCUCAAAUAACCUAACUUCAUACUUUAAGGAACUAGAAAAAUAACAAAUUAAAGCCCAAAAUUAAGAAAAGGGGAAAUAAUAAAGAUCAGAGCAGAAAUAGAAACUAAAAAGACAACAGAAAAGAUCAAUGAAACUGAAAAUAGAGGGCUUUUAAAGUGGUAAAAAAUAUAUAUACAAAUCUUUAGCUAGAUUUACCAAGAAAAAAAGGCCCAAAUUAAUAAAAUUUGAAAUGAAAGAGGAGACAUUUCAACUGCUACCAGAGAAACACAAAGGAUCAUUAGAGACUGAUACAAAGACUUAUAUACCAACAAACUGGACAACCUAGAAGAAACAAAUUCUACCAAGACAAUAUGAAGAGAAUAUCUGAACAAACCAAUUAAUAGUAAGGAAAUUGGAUCAGUAAUCAAAAACUUCCAAAGAAACAAAAGUCCAGGACCAGAUGACUUCACUGGCAGAUUCUAUCAAACAUUAAGGAAGAAUUAAUUCCAACCCUUCUUAAACUCUUCUAAAAAACAGAAGAGGGAACCCUUCCAAACUCAUUUUAUGACGCCAGUGUUACCCUGAUGGGAAGCCACAAGAAAAGUGGCCAGUAUGCUUGAUGAACAUAGAUACAAAAUUCCUCAACAAAAUAGCAGAAAAGCCAAAUUCCACAAUACAUUAUUAAAAGGAUCAUACACCAUGAUCACAUGGGAUUAAUUCCAUAGAUGCAAGGAUGGUUCACUAUCUACAAAAAAAACAAAAUAAAAAUAAAAAUCAGUGUGAUACACCACAUUAACAAAAUGAAGGAUAAAAAUCUUUAAAUCAUCUCAGUAGAUGCAGAGAAAGCAUCUGACACAAUUCAACAUCCUGUAAGACCAGCAGCAAGAAAAGAAUACCCACUCACCACUUUUAUUCAACACAGUACUGGAAGUCCUACCCAGAGCAAUUAAUCAAGAAAAAGACAUAAAAGUAUCCAAGUUGGAAAGAAGUAAAGCUGUCUAUAUUUGCAGAUGACAUAAUAUAUAUAGAAAACACUAAAAACUAUCAAAAAAUUGUUAGAAUGAAUGAAUUCACUGAAGUUGCAGGAUACAAAAUAAAUAUACUAUCCAAAGCAAUCUACAGAUUCAAUUCAAUCCCCAUUAAAAUUCCAUCAAAAAGGCAUUAUUCAAAGAAAUAUCAACAAACAAUCCUAAAAUCUGUAUGAAAACGAAAAAGACCUCAAAUAUCUAAAGUAAUCUUCAGAAAAAAGAAGGAAGCUGGAAGCAUCACAUUAUCUCAUUACAAACUACAGUAAUAAAAACAAUGUGGUACUGGUACAGAAAUGGACACAUAGAUCAAGGAACAGACCAGAUAGUCCAGGAAUAAGUCCAUGCAUAUAUAGCAAAUUAAUUUGUGACAAAGAAGCCAAGAAUAUACAAUAAAGGAUAGUAUCUGUAUAAACGGUACUGGGAAAACUGGACAGAUAGAAAAUGAUGAAACUGUAUCACUAUCUUAUACCAUACACAAAAAUCAACUCUACAUGGAUGAAAGACUUAAAUUUAUGAUCUGAAACCAUAAAUCUUCCAGAAGAAAACAGAGGGCUAAGGUACCUGACAUCAAGUUGGCAAUAAAUUUUUGGAUAUGACAUAAAAGCAAGGGCACUGAAAUCAAAUAUAAGCAACUAAAAAGCUUCUGCACAGCAGUGUAAACUAUCAAUAAAAUGAAAAGGCAGCCUACAGAAUGGGAGAAAAUAUUUGCAAAUCAUGUAUGUGAUAAGGGGUGAAUGCCUGAGAUAUAUAAAGAACUCAUAUAACUCAAACCCAAACAAUCCAAAUUAAAAAUCGGCAGAGAAACUGAACACAUAUUUUUCCAAAUAACACAUACAGAUAGGCAAAGGGUAUGUGAAAAGGUGCUCAACAUCACUAGUCAUCAGGGAAAUGCAAAUCGAAACCACAAUGAGAUAUUACAUCAUACUUGUCUGAAUGGCUAGUAUCAAAACAAAACAAACCCAAGAGAUAACAAGUAUUGGUGUGGGUGUGCAGAUAGGGAACCCUUGUCCACUGUUGGUGGAAUGUAAAUUGCACAGCCACUAUGGAAAACAGUAUGGAGGUUCCUCAAAAAUUAAAAACAGAAAUACCACAUGAUCCUGCAACACCAGUUUGGGGUAUAUACUCAAAAGGAAUUAAUACAGGAUAUCAAGGGGCGCCUGGGUGGCGCAGUCGGUUAAGCGUCCGACUUCAGCCAGGUCACGAUCUCGCGGUCCGUGAGUUCGAGCCCCGCGUCGGGCUCUGGGCUGAUGGCUCAGAGCCUGGAGCCUGUUUCCGAUUCUGUGUCUCCCUCUCUCUCUGCCCCUCCCCCGUUCAUGCUCUGUCUCUCUCUGUCCCAAAAAUAAAUAAACGUUGAAAAAAAAAAUUAAAAAAAAAAAUACAGGAUAUCAAAAAGAUACAUGUAUUCCCAAGUUCAGUGAUGGCAUUAUUUCCAACAGCCAAGAUAAGCAAAAAACCAAAGUGUUUAUCAAUAGAUAAAUGUAUAAAGAAGAUAUGGUAUCUAUAUACAUACAAUGAAUAUUAUUCAGCCAUGAGAAAGGACAUCUUGCUAUUUGUGACAACAUGAAAAGACCCUGAGAGCAUUAUGUUAAGUGAAAUAAAACAGAAAAGACAAAUAGUUCAUGGAAUCAUUUUAUAUGUACUGUUAAAAAAAAAAAGUCAAAUUCAUAAAAACAGCAGGUAGAAAAGGGUUUGCUGGGCAGUGAGGGAAAGAGAGGUUAGUAAAACAGUAAAACCUUUUAGCUAAAAGACAAUAAGGUUUGAAGAUAUAAUGCAUAACAUGGUGACUACAGUUGGUAAUACUGUAUUAUAUGACUGAAAUUUGCUAGGAGAGUAGAACAUAAAUGUUCUUACCAAAAAAAAUAGAAAUAAAUUUUUAAAAAUUUAAGUUUGUGUUUGAACAUUUAUAAAUUAUUUCUCCUAUAGUAAUCUGAUAAUCAUCAUAUUCAUAAUCCCUACAUCCAAUGUCUUCUAAAUAAAAUGCUUUUUAUUCAAACUGGUCAACAUUUGGUCAUAUUUUCCUUUAUAAACUACAAGGAUGGGAAAAAUAAGUCAUAAAUUCACUUUUUCAUUUAUGUGUUUUAUGUACUUUUAUAUGUUUACUUACUUUAAUAAGUAAUGCUUCAUUUGUAGCUUCAAUUACUUCAUUCCUGUCUUGGACUUGUUGAUGCAAAUUGCUUACAGUAUCCUGAGCUUCUUCUAAUUCCAGUUUUGCCUUCUCUAACUGUUCAUUUAGUUGCUGAACAGAAGUCUUUUGAGAGUCAGCAGAAAUCUUCCACUUUGCAUGGUUCUCUUGAUGUGAAAUCAUCUACACAGCCCCAAAAUUGAAAAAGAAAAGAAUUAAGUAGGGUGGAGUUGGUUUCAA